AGUGAACGCUGGCGGUAGGCCUAACACAUGCAAGUCGAACGGCAGCACAGUAAGAGCUUGCUCUUACGGGUGGCGAGUGGCGGACGGGUGAGGAAUACAUCGGAAUCUACUUUUUCGUGGGGGAUAACGUAGGGAAACUUACGCUAAUACCGCAUACUACCUACGGGUGAAAGCAGGGGAUCUUCGGACCUUUCGCGAUUGAAUGAGCCGAUGUCGGAUUAGCUAGUUGGCGGGGUAAAGGCCCACCAAGGCGACGAUCCGUAGCUGGUCUGAGAGGAUGAUCAGCCACACUGGAACUGAGACACGGUCCAGACUCCUACGGGAGGCAGCAGUGGGGAAUCUUGGACAAUGGGCGCAAGCCUGAUCCAGCCAUACCGCGUGGGUGAAGAAGGCCUUCGGGUUGUAAAGCCCUUUUGUCGGGAAAGAAAAGCAGCAGGUUAAUACCCCGCUGUUCUGACGGUACCCAAAGAAUAAGCACCGGCUAACUUCGUG
RNAcentral lists this ribosomal RNA (492 nucleotides) under uncultured bacterium. RNAcentral describes it as "partial 16S ribosomal RNA". It matches the Rfam family "Bacterial small subunit ribosomal RNA", at positions 29 to 507 of the family's 1533-position model. The record is from RNAcentral.